CAGCCGCCGCGGUAAUACAGAGGGUGCAAGCGUUAAUCGGAAUUACUGGGCGUAAAGCGCGCGUAGGUGGUUUGUUAAGUUGGAUGUGAAAUCCCCGGGCUCAACCUGGGAACUGCAUCCAAAACUGGCAAGCUAGAGUAUGGUAGAGGGUGGUGGAAUUUCCUGUGUAGCGGUGAAAUGCGUAGAUAUAGGAAGGAACACCAGUGGCGAAGGCGACCACCUGGACUGAUACUGACACUGAGGUGCGAAAGCGUGGGGAGCAAACAGGAUUAGAUACCCGAGUAGUCCCUGUCUCUUAUAA
Molecule: ribosomal RNA, 301 nt
Filed under: uncultured bacterium
Lineage: Bacteria
Description: partial 16S ribosomal RNA
Rfam family: Bacterial small subunit ribosomal RNA
Source: RNAcentral